UAGUUGGUGAGGUAAUGGCUCACCAAGGCUAUGAUCGUUAGCUGGUCUGAGAGGAUGGCCAGCCACACUGGAACUGAGACACGGUCCAGACUCCUACGGGAGGCAGCAGUGGGGAAUCUUGCACAAUGGGCGAAAGCCUGAUGCAGCGACGCCGCGUGGGGGAUGAAGCUUCUCGGAGUGUAAACCCCUUUCGACCCGGACGAAUACCUCGCAAGAGGGGUGACGGUACGGGUAUAAGAAGCCCCGGCUAACUACGUGCCAGCAGCCGCGGUAAGACGUAGGGGGCCAGCGUUGUUCGGAAUUACUGGGUGUAAAGGGUUCGUAGGCGGUGUGGCAAGUCGGGAGUGAAAUCUCUGGGCUCAACUCAGAGACUGCUUCCGAAACUGCUGUGCUUGAGUGUGGGAGAGGCGCGUGGAAUUGCAGGUGUAGCGGUGAAAUGCGUAGAUAUCUGCAGGAACACCCGUGGCGAAAGCGGCGCGCUGGACCACUACUGACGCUGAGGAACGAAAGCUAGGGGAGCAAACAGGAUUAGAUACCCUGGUAGUCCUAGCCCUAAACGAUCAGGACUUGGGGUGCCACCCGUUCGGGUGUCGUCCCGGAGCUAACGCGUUAAGUCCUGCACCUGGGGAGUACGGUCGCAAGACUGAAACUCAAAGGAAUUGACG
RNAcentral lists this ribosomal RNA (665 nucleotides) under uncultured Acidobacteriota bacterium. Its description in RNAcentral is "SSU rRNA". It matches the Rfam family "Bacterial small subunit ribosomal RNA", at positions 246 to 915 of the family's 1533-position model. Lineage: Bacteria; Pseudomonadati; Acidobacteriota. The record is from RNAcentral.